CUACGGGGUGCUGCAGUGAGGAAUAUUGCACAAUGGGGGGAACCCUGAUGCAGCAACGCCGCGUGGAGGAUGACGCAUUUCGGUGUGUAAACUCCUUUUAUAUGUCAAGAAAAUGACGGUAGCAUAUGAAUAAGCACCGGCUAACUCCGUGCCAGCAGCCGCGGUAAUACGGAGGGUGCAAGCGUUACUCGGAAUCACUGGGCGUAAAGGACGCGUAGGCGGGCUUGUAAGUCAGGUGUGAAAUCCUACAGCUUAACUGUAGAACUGCACUUGAAACUACGAGCCUAGAGUAUGGGAGGGGGAGAUGGAAUUAGUGGUGUAGGGGUAAAAUCCGUAGAUAUCACUAGGAAUACCUAAAGCGAAGGCGAUCUCCUGGAACAUAACUGACGCUAAGGCGUGAAAGCGUGGGGAGCAAACAGGGUUAGAUACCCUUGUAGUC
This 439-nucleotide ribosomal RNA is filed under the name uncultured bacterium. RNAcentral describes it as "partial 16S ribosomal RNA". It matches the Rfam family "Bacterial small subunit ribosomal RNA", at positions 339 to 795 of the family's 1533-position model. The record is from RNAcentral.